GAUGAACGCUGGCGGCGUGCCUAAUACAUGCAAGUCGAACGCUGGAAAUCUAGCUUGCUCGAUUGAAGGAGUGGCGAACGGGUGAGUAAUACAUAAGCAACCUACCCACGAAGACUGGGAUAAUCUCUGGAAACGGGGACUAAUACCGGAUAGGUAAUCGGAAGGCAUCUUCUGAUUAUUAAAGGUUAAAAACACUGGUGGAUGGGCUUAUGGCGCAUUAGUUAGUUGGUGAGGUAACGGCCCACCAAGACGAUGAUGCGUAGCCGGCCUGAGGGGGUGAACGGCCACAUUGGGACUGAGACACGGCCCAGACUCCUACGGGAGGCAGCAGUAGGGAAUUUUCGGCAUUGGGGGAAACCCUGACCGAGCAACGCCGCGUGAGUGAUGACGGCCUUCGGGUUGUAAAGCUCUGUUGUAAGGGAAGAACGGUAGAUAGAGAAUAUCUAAAUGACGGUACCUUACCAGAAAGCCACGGCUAACUACGUG
This 486-nucleotide ribosomal RNA is filed under the name uncultured bacterium. RNAcentral's name for it is "partial 16S ribosomal RNA". It matches the Rfam family "Bacterial small subunit ribosomal RNA", at positions 28 to 507 of the family's 1533-position model. The record is from RNAcentral.